UAAAUUAAUUUAUAUAUUUUUAUUUAUGUUAUUUAAAUGAAUUAAAUAAAAUAAUAUUUAAAAUUAAUUAAAUUAUUUAGUAUUAUUAAAAAAAAUAUAAUAAUUUUAUAUUUAUAGUAUUGUAAAAGAAUAAUAUUAUUAUAAUAAAAUAAUUAUUAAAGUUAUUUACCUUUUGUAUCAGGGUUUAUUAAAUUUAAUUAAUAUAUUUUUAAUUUCUCGAAAUAAAUUGAUCUAUUUAUUUAUUAUAUUUAAUGUAAAAUUAUUAUUAUUAAUAAAUAAAUAGUAGUGAUAAGUCAUUCAUAAUUUAUAUAUCUAGUUAUUUUAUAAAUAAAUUUAAUUUAAUUAAUGUUAAUAAAUUUAUAUAUUUAAUUUUUAAUAUAUAAAUUAAUAUUAUUAAAAUUAUUAGGGAUAAACUUAAUAAUUAUUUUAAUAUUUUUUAAUAUUAUUAGUAAAAAAUUAUAAUAAAAAUAAUAAUUUUUAUUUAUAAAUAAUUUAUAAUAAUUAAUAAUAUUAAACAUAUGAUUUUAAUAAUUUAAUUUAAUUAAAUAUAAAAUUAUUAACUUUAAUUAAUUAAGUUAAUUAAUAAUGAUAAAAUUAGUAAAAAUAAAUUUAAUAUUAUUAUAUUAAAUUAAAGAUUAUUUUAAGGAAUUAGGCAAAAAAUUUUUAUUCACCUGUUUAUUAAAAACAUGGUUUAUUGAAUUUAAUUAUAUAAUAAUAAAUCAAUUCUGCUCAAUGAAUUUAUUUAAAUAGCUGCAGUAUUUUGACUGUACAAAGGUAGCAUAAUCAAUUGUCUUUUUAUUAAAGUCUAGAAUGAAAGAAAUAAUGAAAUAAAAACUGUCUCAGAAUAAAUAAAUUUUAAAUUUUAUUGUAAGUAAAAAUUCUUAUAUAUUUAUAAUAGACGAGAAGACCCUAUAGAAUUUUAUUAUUAAAUUAUUAUUUUUAUUUAUUAUUAAUAAAUUAAUUUAUUUUAAUAAUUAUAUUGGGGGGAUAAUAAAAUUUAAAUAAUUUUUAUAUUUUUAUCACUAAAAUAUUAGAAUUUUAUAACCAAUAAUAUUGAAUUUAAAUAAAUUACCUUAGGGAUAACAGCGUUAAAUUUUUAAAGAGUUCAUAUUGAUAAAAAUUUUUGCGACCUCGAUGUUGAAUUAAAUUUAAUUGUUAUUGUAGAUAAUAACAAAAUUUAGUCUGUUCGACUAUUAAAAUUUUACAUGAUUUGAGUUUAGAUCGGUGUGAGCCAGAUCGGUUUCUAUCUUUAUAUAAUAAUUAUAUUUUUGUACGAAAGGACUUAAUAUAAAUAAUAAUUAUUUAUUAUUGAAUAAAAUUAUUUUAU
Molecule: ribosomal RNA, 1327 nt
Filed under: Nasonia vitripennis (jewel wasp)
Lineage: Eukaryota; Metazoa; Arthropoda; Insecta; Hymenoptera; Pteromalidae
Description: 16S ribosomal RNA
Source: RNAcentral